AGCGGACUGUUCAGUCCCUUGGAUAGGGCAUCGUAGAGGGUGAAAGUCCCGUGCUUGAUCUGGAACCCCCGGGGCUUUGUGAUGCGCUCUCAAAGAGUCGAGUUGUUUGGGAAUGCAGCUCAAAAUGGGUGGUAAAUGCCAUCUAAGGCUAAAUAUCGAGGAGAGACCGAUAGCGAACAAGUACCGUGAGGGAAAGAUGAAAAGAACUUUGGAAAGAGAGUUAAACAGUACGUGAAAUUGCCGGAAGGGAAGGGUAGGAAGUCAGACAUGCCUUUGCAGAUUCAGCCUUGUUUUUGGACUUGGUGUAUUUUUGUAAUGGCAGGCCAGCGUCGGUUUGUGUCGCCGGAUAUAGGGUUAGGGAAAGAA
This 366-nucleotide ribosomal RNA is filed under the name Urocystis anemones. RNAcentral's name for it is "LSU rRNA". It matches the Rfam family "Eukaryotic large subunit ribosomal RNA", at positions 172 to 538 of the family's 3401-position model. The record is from RNAcentral. Lineage: Eukaryota; Fungi; Basidiomycota; Ustilaginomycetes; Urocystidales; Urocystidaceae.